AAUGGGAAGUACAACGAGUCGCGAAGUCGCGAGGCUAAGCUAAUCUCUUAAAGCUUCUCUCAGUUCGGAUUGCAGGCUGCAACUCGCCUGCAUGAAGCCGGAAUCGCUAGUAAUCGCGGAUCAGCACGCCGCGGUGAAUACGUUCCCGGGCCUUGUACACACCGCCCGUCACACCACGAGAGUUUGUAACACCCGAAGUCGGUGAGGUAACCUUUUGGAGCCAGCCGCCUAAGGUGGGAUAGAUGAUUGGGGUGAAGUCGUAACAAGGUAGCCGUAUCGGAAGGUGCGGCUGGAUCACCUCCUUUCUAAGGAA
RNAcentral lists this ribosomal RNA (313 nucleotides) under Enterococcus faecium. Its description in RNAcentral is "partial 16S ribosomal RNA". It matches the Rfam family "Bacterial small subunit ribosomal RNA", at positions 1229 to 1533 of the family's 1533-position model. Lineage: Bacteria; Bacillati; Bacillota; Bacilli; Lactobacillales; Enterococcaceae. The record is from RNAcentral.